GAUGAACGCUGGCGGCGUGCCUAAUACAUGCAAGUCGAGCGAACGGACGAGAAGCUUGCUUCUCUGAUGUUAGCGGCGGACGGGUGAGUAACACGUGGAUAACCUACCUAUAAGACUGGGAUAACUUCGGGAAACCGUAGCUAAUACCGGAUAAUAUUUUGAACCGCAUGGUUCAAAAGUGAAAGACGGUCUUGCUGUCACUUAUAGAUGGAUCCGCGCUGCAUUAGCUAGUUGGUAAGGUAACGGCUUACCAAGGCAACGAUGCAUAGCCGACCUGAGAGGGUGAUCGGCCACACUGGAACUGAGACACGGUCCAGACUCCUACGGGAGGCAGCAGUAGGGAAUCUUCCGCAAAGGGCGAAAGCCUGACGGAGCAGCGCCGCGUGAGUGAUGAAGGUCUUCGGAUCGUAAAACUCUGUUAUUAGGGAAGAACAUAUGUGUAAGUAACUGUGCACAUCUUGACGGUACCUAAUCAGAAAGCCACGGCUAACUACGUG
This 497-nucleotide ribosomal RNA is filed under the name uncultured bacterium. Its description in RNAcentral is "partial 16S ribosomal RNA". It matches the Rfam family "Bacterial small subunit ribosomal RNA", at positions 28 to 507 of the family's 1533-position model. The record is from RNAcentral.